Molecule: ribosomal RNA, 253 nt
Filed under: uncultured prokaryote
Description: partial 16S ribosomal RNA
Rfam family: Bacterial small subunit ribosomal RNA
Source: RNAcentral
ACGAAGGGGGCUAGCGUUGUUCGGAAUUACUGGGCGUAAAGCGCACGUAGGCGGACUAUUAAGUCAGGGGUGAAAUCCCGGGGCUCAACCCCGGAACUGCCUUUGAUACUGGUAGUCUCGAGUCCGGAAGAGGUGAGUGGAAUUCCGAGUGUAGAGGUGAAAUUCGUAGAUAUUCGCAGGAACACCAGUGGCGAAGGCGACUUGCUGGAUCUUUGCUGACGCUGAGACGCGAAAGCGUGGGGAGCAAACAGGA